Hirundo rustica (Barn swallow) is the source of this 6232-nucleotide long non-coding RNA. RefSeq lists it as uncharacterized. The record is from RefSeq and is a predicted model, not a curated record. Lineage: Eukaryota; Metazoa; Chordata; Aves; Passeriformes; Hirundinidae. The transcript has 5 exons.
UUGGCACAAAGUAGUUAGUGAGGAUUGGGUCAGAGUAAAGAUGACCUUUUUAGUAAUAGUGAUAGACAUUGGUAAGAAAUAGUAAAUAAGAAAUACGUAGUAAUUAGUAUAAAAGAUAAGGACAGCCCAGCUCGGGGGGAGACGUGAGGAAUCCAUGCAGCUGCGAACAUCUUGUCGGACUCCAAGAAAAUUGUAAGAUAAGAAACAAUAAACGAAGAAUGCAACCUUGAAAAAUCUAAACCUGAGAACUCCGUCUCUUCCUUCGGCUCGGCUCGGAGCUGUGCAGGGGAGCAAGGACCCUGAAACCACCUCAAUGUUGGGGUAAGCCCCCGACAAGAUCUUUACUUUUCCAGGAAAUUUUUAGACUGAACUAUUUAAAUAAUAUGGUCUAAAGCAUCUCUAGAUGGAAUUCUUAAUUUUAUUUUGGAGGCUGUUCCGGUUCACACUCAGCCGAACCAAGAUGAUAAAUCCUGUUGCAAACGCGUGUGAUGUUUCUAAUGUGGGUAAGAAGAUGUGUCUGCAGAUUGAUUUCGAGGAAGGGCUGUUUCAAAUCCUUGCAAACGAGGAGAAAGAAGACAGCUUUCUUGUAACAAUGUUUUGCUUUUGUUUUCAGUCUCGCAGCAAUUGGAUGCAGAACCGGUAUCGUCUCUCUGUUGCUUUGCUGCCAAGGUCAGCUCUGCAAGCGAGCUUCAUAUUUUACACGUGGCUGUUCCAUGCUUCAGCUAUCUCUCCGGUGUAUUAAAAACAAUCCUCCACUGCCCGUUCUCCACCGCUGCUGGCCUCAGCAGGAGCUGAAGAUCUGCCUGGGACACGUUAGCCUAGGAAGCUGAUAAGGAGGAACUCUUACAGAUCCCAAAGUGGCCAUGAGACUCCCAGCUGCACAGGGAAGUGUGUAAGCAAUCAGGAAAACUUUCUGACACUGACCAGGACUCUGCUGCAGAGGUGUUGCUCUCCUUCUGAACUCCCUGUUGAAAGAUGCCCAAAAAGCACUUAAAGAAGUUGGAAAAGAAAUCCCCCAUCCAGACUGAGGAGGAGGAGGGAUAUUCCAGACAUCCGAAGUUCAUUUUUCUCACCUCCACCAAAAAAAUGGAAAUACAACCCCCAAGUUUUAAGUGCAAGGAAAAAUCAGUCGCAAUCCCUCAACACUCUCUUCAGAUCCCAGAAAUCUACAAGCACUGUGGAUUUACUAAUCUUUGAAAUGAGCUCCUGCUAGAUCAGCUGCACCAGCCACAAGCAUCGCCUGAUCGAGACCAUUCAACCCCCCUUUUUUAAAUUCAACAGCAGUCCGGGUGCUCUUUGGAGUGGUGAAUUCUGCUGGCUGACACCACUCCAAAGGAAGAAGAAAUUCUCUUGGCCAAGUACUUGCUUAUUCUUUUAACACAGGCUCGUGGAAAGGGGAAGGACUGACAUUGUUUUUGUCACAGUUUUGCCUGAUUUGGUAGGAUACAGAGACUUCCCUCAGCACAGAGCCCUGGCUGUGCUAGGCACGGGAUACCUCUGUGUGUCUGAGGACAAGUCCCAGCCUUGAAAAUCUCACCCUUAUUAAAAGUGAAUCCACAGAAGAUGUGGGAAAAUCUUUCUGUAAGCAAAACGGGGUGGCUGUCAUUGUGUGUAAGCUCAAUUUCUUCCUUCAGCUCAUUGAAAAGCACCCGUGGCAGGGGUCAGGAGGGGAGGGCAGCUCAGGUUUCUCCAGCUUUCCGUGGUGCUUGGGUGCAGAGGCGCCGACGGAGCAGGACGCAGGAGACCACUUGCGUCACCUGCAGUGUGGCGUGAUGGCUUUUCCCCACGCUGUACCCCUUCCUCUCAUCACCCCUUGUGUGUAGGGUCAUGGAGGGAAGGAGAGGUGCUGCUGCUCCCUGGAUUCAUAGGGGAAUGGAGGGGAGCUGAGCUCUUCAAGUCUCACAUGCACAGUGUGCCAGCGAUGGGCAUAUCGAGGGUAGGGGCUGUCUGUCUUGAAGAACACACCUCUGAUUUUUGGGGGCAGCAAAUGGCUGGCUUCUUACUGCCCCCAGAGAGGACUGAAAUUAUUUGGGCCCAUCACUGUGUCAGUGAGUGCAUUGAGUGCAUUUACAAAAGAGUAGGAAAAGUUUUGUGGCAUCACGAUAUAAAGGAAAGGAAGAACAUGAAGGACUCACGGAGAGAGUUUUACGUGCAAAAUCUUGUUGUUGGCGAAGGAGGAACACGCAAGCCAAGGAUUUUUUUAGUCUAAUUAAAAUCCUAACGUGUUAACUAAUAUACAACACACAGUUAAUUAGUAUGGUGACAGUACACAAAUAUUCACACUGCAAAUUAUCUAAUUAAUAUAAAAUAAGCUCUGUCUGGCUCAUUCACCAGGGUGAAUGGUUUAUCACCCUGAAAUCUUUGAUGUCAUUCUGUGUCUGUACUUUACUGGACUGCAUCUCAUGUCCCCACUCUGAAGGCUACUGCUGUCCUCCUGCAUCAUUAUACCAGGGCUAUAAAUACGUCAGAAUACACAGACCAUCAGCUUGUUGCUGCUAUUUGUACAAAAAUUAUUAUGCCAUAUGGCUGUAACAUAUGAUUCUGCCCUGUGAUUUUGCUCAGCUCUAGAACUAAGGGAAAAUUAAGUUCAGCUAUAGAAGCUGAUGGUAGGAUAGCCCUUCAAGCAUAGUGCCCUCAAAGACCUCUCAUUCAUCUGAUGCCUUGGGAAGGCUGAGCUGGAACAGAGACUGGACAGAGCUGGACAAUAAAGCAGGGAUUUAUUAAAAGGGCUUUAGGAUACACCUUGGGCAGGACAAGAGCCUGAUCAGGGCUACACCCAAGGUGGACCCAAAAUGGUCACAAAAUGGACAAAGGGUCACGAGGUCUCACACUUUGAUCAGUUUUGGUCCAUUUGCAUCUGGGGUUUAAUUGUCCAAUUCCAGCUCCAGGCUGUGAGCUCCCAUCCUUCUUGUUCCUCCCUCCAGCCACCCUUGUUUGUGCUUUUGGGCUGAAAGUUGUCCUUGGUGUGCAGCAGGAAAAGGAUUUGUUUUGUGUCGCUGCUGUGUGAAGGGAGCUCACCAGCACUUAAUAUGAGGCUCUGAACUGUACCUAAGCAGCACAGAAUCUGAAAACAUGAAAGCUAAAACUUAAAACAUAACAUCCAGCUCUGGCAAAAGGCAGUGACCUCCAGAGAGGAGUUUUCCCAAGUACUUUUUCCAUGCCCCAGCCAUUCCUGUUCAAGAAAGCAGAAGGCGUGCUGUGGUAGGCAACUUCUUGCCUCAGAAUAUCUGAGCAAAUAGUUGCAACCACCUCAGUACAAAAUCCAUCACUGGCCAACUAGUGAUCAUAACAGCCAUAGAGUUUAAUCUCCCUUUUAAUUGUCGUUGGCUGUUUCUUACUUGUAACAAGCUCAGGGAAGGCCCUCUUUGAUUUGUUAUUAUGUGUGUUUCAAAUGCUGAUAAUAUCACCACGGGGACUGGGGUGCCUUAAGGCAAGAUCAAGGAAUGCAGCUGUAGACCUGCCACAUCUGUCAUAGACUGAAGCAAUUAUGAAAUUGGACAGUGCAUAUUUUUAUCUGAAAACUGGAUGGAGAUUAAUCUAUCUCACGGGCACCUUCUGCAGGAAAGAAAAAACUUGUUGAGUCUGAUUGAGUUUGCGAGGCAAUUCUGAGGUCUGUGGCAAGGACUAUGUGACCAAAAAAUUGAUAUCGGCAUUAUUAAUUAUCUCCCUCAGCUAAUGAAAUAAUUAUUCAAUCAGAACUAAACAAGUAUAUGCAAAUGCAGAAUCUCAGGUGACCAGCAUAUUCUUUAAUCAAUUUGGACAGUUUAACAGGACCCUUCUGUCUUUAAAAACAGGAACCAAGACAAUUUAAAAAAUUAAAAAAAAAAAGUUCAGCACAAUUAAAGAAAAAAAAAAGUUCAGCACAGUUCACAAAGUACUUCUGUUCAACCUAAUGAUUUUAUUAUUGUGGUAAUAAUAUUUGAUAUGUUUCUCAGAAGCUUAACUUCAUCUUGUGCAAGCCUCAAAUCCUUGUCAUUUGCCACAAGAAGAAAUCAUCCCCCUCUGCUAGGAAACGUGAAAUCUAUGAACUUCAAAUCCAAAUAAAAAUGUCAGUGUCUUUUUUAUCAACACCUCGUGAUUAUUAAAGAAAUGUAUUGAUUUUAAAUGCUCAAGAACUCUGAAGGCUUUGGGAUGAGCCACAUGGUUAAGAUUUCUCCCCAUCCAACACAGAAGUAGAGUUCAAAACCCUAGAAGAGAAAUGAAAAAUCAGAAACUACCAUAAAUUCUGGCAAAACAAAUGAUUUUGUUUCUAGUAGUUGCAUAUCUAUUUUUUGUGCCUGCCCUCUUUCUUUUCUUAUUAAUAUGAUACAAGGGAAAAGAGGUUCAAUGCCCUAUGUCUCUAUCAAUAAACAUCCAAUUGUCAUAAAACAUGCCUGUCAUGCUUCCCUAUGAAAAGCAGAGCAUGGAUAUAAAACGACUGAUUGUCUAUGUCUUGCUUCUUUUUUGUCUCUGUAAGAUAGGAACAUGGAAGCAUCAAAACGUGUAAGAACAUUUGCUUUGUAACCUGCAAUUUAUCUGCUUGAAUUCGAUUAGAGCCUCCUUCAUCAAACACAGUGUAGCUCUUGAGACCUGACAGAUCAGACUCUGGCAAUCACAAAUGUGCUGAGUUUUGCCCAAAUUGUGGCAAAGGUUUCUUGCACCUCGGGUUUCUUUCAGGAGAGAGUCUUUGACUUCCAAAUCCAAGUGUCAGCCAAUCAGCUCUCAGUACAGAGAUUAAGUAAUGAGCAAAUUAAGGGUUUGGGGCUGAUUCUGUUCCUUCUGAAAGAAAUGGCAGCACUCCCCAUGGCUCCAGAGGGAGAAAGGUCCUCUGCAUUGCUUCACUGGCUGAUUGCAAUCCACCCAGGAUGGUGCAGAGAGAACAGCCAGAUAAUUCACAACGUCACGGAGCCCUUGUCUUACUGCAAGGCUUUUUAUCAUCACACGCUCAGCAUCAGCCCUAGCCAUAAAUUACACGGUUUGUAACUGAUGCAUUAGGAGUCAGAACAGCUGGAUGGCAAGUUUUUAAUUCAUCAGUGGAGGCAGCUUCAGGCUGGGGAGUUUUGUGCUCAGGAUGGAGAGUUGGUUCAUUUACCUCAGUCAGCUCAGUCAAAUAAUCUCCCUCACGGCUGUAACAAUAAUUAGGCACGAGGAAUAAAAAUCUGUAAACCCCUGGCAGCUAGACUAAGGGACAAAUAUGGAAAGCGUAUAUUUACUGGUGUAAACUCCAAAUAAGAGAGACCAGAACACGCAGGAGAUGUAACUCCAUGUUCCCUGACUCGGGAAUGCAGGUACCAUAAAGACCAUGAGCAAACAGCUGAGUGCUUUUCUUCCCAUAACAACACCAAACUUUUCUGCUGCACAGAGCGAUCCCUCAUUAUAACUUGGGCAAAGUGAUUCAUGACAGCUCAGUGAGGCAGUUUUUAUCUGCCACAGCCGCUGGGAGCCUCCGUGGAGCUCCCUGCCACCUCACUCUCACCUGAUAUAUUCUCUGCCAUAUCCCCGAGCUCUUCUGAAGAGUCAUUUCUUGCUGGAAAUGAGACUUGUGGGAAUUCCUGGUGCUGCUUUGGCUCUGUACCCGGGAUAGAGCGUGUGAGUCAGCCAGGAGCAGUCCAGACAUUUUCCCUCUGGUUCAGAACUGAGUCUGGAGUUCAGUUGCUGUGAGGAUUUCAGACACACUGAGCUCCUCCUUCUUUUUCACAUUUGGAUUGUGGGCAGCUCUCUGCUCUGCUUUACUUUGUUUGCCUGAACCAACCUACCUUAGAAAGGUGAUUCAAGAAACUGCAAGUACUUUCUGUGAUAUCAUAUUAAUCAAUUAAUCACAAGCUUUUCAAUAAAAGAAUCACCUAAUGAGGAGAGAAGAAGUCUUUUAAUAAUCUUUUUAUAUUCCAUUUUUUUUUUUUUUUUUCUGGGCAGGGGAAUCAAACCCAAACACAUUAGAAAGUUUGUCCAAAGGUAAUUUUUUGGCUAGCAGAUGCCAGCUUCUUAAUUAAUGUAGAAGUGUAUAGAAUGUCCUGGACACGUUUAGGCCUCGCAAAUGUUGAGGUUAUUAUGGUAUUAAUAGAUUUGAUACUCAAAUAGUAAAUCUGAAUUUGGAAUAAUUAAUCACAUUCACUUAGUAUCUUCUAGAAAUCAUCUAAAUAUAUGUACACAUAUAUUUUUGACACAAAGGGUGGCAUAUUUAAGCAGGAUACUUUAAAACCAGACCCACGCAAAAGAAACUCCCAAUCAAACUACAAAUUACUUUGGGACUAGA